UUGCUUUGCUGAGCUUUUUUGUCAAUUGCAGAGAGAGAGAGAUAGAGGAUAAGGAGAAAAGAGAGAGCUCAACCCUAAUUCCUUUUGUCGCCACUUCUCCAUAGGCGCCGCCGAAACCAUCUCCUCUUCUGAUAGAGCUUAUGAUCUUGGGUUUGUUGUUUAGUUCUGGCUGGAAUCCGAGUCGAUCGUUUCACAAUUACUAUGGCGUCUUCUAGGGUUUCAGGAAAAGUCCAAAUCAAGCAAAUCCAUUUGGUCCAUCACUAAAGCGAAGUUUCUUCAGAGAUGGUUCUGGCUGGAAGCCGAGUCGAUCUGAGAUAAUGGAUGCUCUCGGGUUUCUGAAGGUUUUAUGAUCUCUGCUGUGUGUACUGCUGGGUGAAGGUAUACUGACUGAGGCAGGAGAAACAACUUUUUAAAAAAGGUUACAGUGCUAAGUGGCACAAAUGGUAUAUUUAGUGUAAUUUUCAUAUGAUUAUUUAGCUAGAUUGGUUAUAAAUUUUGCUAGUAGUGAAUCAUGUAGAUAUUUGGGGACAAUGGGGUUGCUCCAGAUUGAUUUUACAUGGACUGACAAGUGUUUUCUAAUAUGUUACUGAUGGUUUUUUUGUCCAAUGAAGAAGCUGAAGAUAUCAAGAAAAUGUUUUUUUAAAAGAUGGCGUUGUAACAACUGAAAUACUGAAAGGUGGACUACAAAAGUUUAAUACACGUUGUCGAGUCUGUGCUUAUUGAAGAUGCGUUCUAUACACACUUCCGGAAUAUCAUAGCCAUAUAUCCCGACCGCCUGCAGUGGUCAAACAACAGGCACGAAAACCAUAACCCUCGUGGAGCUAUUUCUGAUCGACACAUUGGAGAUGUUGCACAUCGAUUCAGUACAGGAGCACAUGAAGAGUAUACCGAGCUCUCAGCCGUGGAAGGUUUGGCCCAAUAUACCAAACUAAUCUGGGAGAUUGCCGAUCAGUUGCCAUCAAAAAGCUCAUAGUCUCGGGCCUUGUAAAAUCUCAAGAAGAUUUCUCGAGGGAGGUUAAGAAACUGGGAAAGAUUCAUCAUCUGAAUCUUGUAGCACUCGAAGGGUCAUCCACCAAAUUACAGAAAUGGUGCUGUUUUGAGUUAGGAAACGGAGAAGAAGAGAACAGGGGAGAGUGUGCUGUGCAAGUGGCAGCUCCGUUAUUUAAGGUUUGGCUUCCUUUUGGGUUUUCUAUUGGUCUUGCGGAUUGUUAGAAAUUUGUUAUGGAUGAAACAAAGAAGAAAUCAGAAGAUAUGUCAGGUGACCCUUCGUCAGGACUAAUGUGGGAUGUAAAAAUUACACACUUUGUAUUUGCUUUGUUUUAUGAUUUAGAUGUACCUUUAUUUUAUUAGUUUUUUUUUUUUUCUGAAUUUUUUUUUUUAUCAUAUCUAAACAUCAAAUACAAUAAGCAUGUCAUUGUAUAUUUUUUACUACAUUUGUUAUUUAAGUCCUAAUUUGUUAUU
Molecule: long non-coding RNA, 1461 nt
Filed under: Helianthus annuus (common sunflower)
Lineage: Eukaryota; Viridiplantae; Streptophyta; Magnoliopsida; Asterales; Asteraceae
Description: hypothetical non coding rna
Source: RNAcentral